RNAcentral lists this ribosomal RNA (1706 nucleotides) under Salmonella enterica. RNAcentral's name for it is "partial 23S ribosomal RNA". It matches the Rfam family "Bacterial large subunit ribosomal RNA", at positions 1115 to 2803 of the family's 2925-position model. Lineage: Bacteria; Pseudomonadati; Pseudomonadota; Gammaproteobacteria; Enterobacterales; Enterobacteriaceae. The record is from RNAcentral.
GCCAUCAUUUAAAGAAAGCGUAAUAGCUCACUGGUCGAGUCGGCCUGCGCGGAAGAUGUAACGGGGCUAAACCAUGCACCGAAGCUGCGGCAGCGACGCUGAUGCGUUGUUGGGUAGGGGAGCGUUCUGUAAGCCUGCGAAGGUGGCCUGUGAGGGUUGCUGGAGGUAUCAGAAGUGCGAAUGCUGACAUAAGUAACGAUAAAGCGGGUGAAAAGCCCGCUCGCCGGAAGACCAAGGGUUCCUGUCCAACGUUAAUCGGGGCAGGGUGAGUCGACCCCUAAGGCGAGGCCGAAAGGCGUAGUCGAUGGGAAACGGGUUAAUAUUCCCGUACUUGGUGUUACUGCGAAGGGGGGACGGAGAAGGCUAUGUUGGCCGGGCGACGGUUGUCCCGGUUUAAGCGUGUAGGUGUGUGUUCCAGGUAAAUCCGGUUCACUUUAACACUGAGGCGUGACGACGAGGCACUACGGUGCUGAAGCAACAAAUGCCCUGCUUCCAGGAAAAGCCUCUAAGCAUCAGGUAACAUCAAAUCGUACCCCAAACCGACACAGGUGGUCAGGUAGAGAAUACCAAGGCGCUUGAGAGAACUCGGGUGAAGGAACUAGGCAAAAUGGUGCCGUAACUUCGGGAGAAGGCACGCUGACACGUAGGUGAAGUGAUUUACUCAUGGAGCUGAAGUCAGUCGAAGAUACCAGCUGGCUGCAACUGUUUAUUAAAAACACAGCACUGUGCAAACACGAAAGUGGACGUAUACGGUGUGACGCCUGCCCGGUGCCGGAAGGUUAAUUGAUGGGGUCAGCGCAAGCGAAGCUCCUGAUCGAAGCCCCGGUAAACGGCGGCCGUAACUAUAACGGUCCUAAGGUAGCGAAAUUCCUUGUCGGGUAAGUUCCGACCUGCACGAAUGGCGUAAUGAUGGCCAGGCUGUCUCCACCCGAGACUCAGUGAAAUUGAACUCGCUGUGAAGAUGCAGUGUACCCGCGGCAAGACGGAAAGACCCCGUGAACCUUUACUAUAGCUUGACACUGAACAUUGAGCCUUGAUGUGUAGGAUAGGUGGGAGGCUUUGAAGUGUGGACGCCAGUCUGCAUGGAGCCGACCUUGAAAUACCACCCUUUAAUGUUUGAUGUUCUAACGUGGACCCGUGAUCCGGGUUGCGGACAGUGUCUGGUGGGUAGUUUGACUGGGGCGGUCUCCUCCUAAAGAGUAACGGAGGAGCACGAAGGUUGGCUAAUCCUGGUCGGACAUCAGGAGGUUAGUGCAAUGGCAUAAGCCAGCUUGACUGCGAGCGUGACGGCGCGAGCAGGUGCGAAAGCAGGUCAUAGUGAUCCGGUGGUUCUGAAUGGAAGGGCCAUCGCUCAACGGAUAAAAGGUACUCCGGGGAUAACAGGCUGAUACCGCCCAAGAGUUCAUAUCGACGGCGGUGUUUGGCACCUCGAUGUCGGCUCAUCACAUCCUGGGGCUGAAGUAGGUCCCAAGGGUAUGGCUGUUCGCCAUUUAAAGUGGUACGCGAGCUGGGUUUAGAACGUCGUGAGACAGUUCGGUCCCUAUCUGCCGUGGGCGCUGGAGAACUGAGGGGGGCUGCUCCUAGUACGAGAGGACCGGAGUGGACGCAUCACUGGUGUUCGGGUUGUCAUGCCAAUGGCACUGCCCGGUAGCUAAAUGCGGAAGAGAUAAGUGCUGAAAGCAUCUAAGCACGAAACUUGCCCCGAG